ACAUGCAAGUCGCACGAGAACUCCUUAGCUUGCUAAGGAUAGUAAAGUGGCGCACGGGUGAGUAACGCGUGGGUAAUCUACCCUCGAAUUGGGGAUAACCUCACGAAAGUGGGGCUAAUACCGGAUGACAUCUUGAAGGCUUCGGUCUUUUGGAUCAAAGGAUGCCUCUACAUGUAAGCUUCCGUUCGGGGAUGAGCUCGCGUACCAUUAGCUUGUUGGUAGGGUAAAGGCCUACCAAGGCUACGAUGGUUAGCUGGUCUGAGAGGAUGAUCAGCCACACUGGAACUGACACACGGUCCAGACUCCUACGGGAGGCAGCAGUGAGGAAUUUUGCGCAAUGGGGGAAACCCUGACGCAGCAACGCCGCGUGAGUGAUGAAGGCCUUCGGGUCGUAAAGCUCUGUCAAGUGGGAAGAACCUGCAUGCAGUCAACAGCUGCGUGCACUGACGGUACCACUGAAGGAAGCACCGGCUAACUCCGUGCCAGCAGCCGCGGUAAU
RNAcentral lists this ribosomal RNA (499 nucleotides) under uncultured delta proteobacterium MT27. RNAcentral's name for it is "bacterial SSU rRNA". It matches the Rfam family "Bacterial small subunit ribosomal RNA", at positions 53 to 524 of the family's 1533-position model. The record is from RNAcentral. Lineage: Bacteria; Deltaproteobacteria.